Molecule: unclassified non-coding RNA, 348 nt
Filed under: soil metagenome
Description: partial contains 5.8S ribosomal RNA, internal transcribed spacer 2, and large subunit ribosomal RNA
Rfam family: 5.8S ribosomal RNA (bases 1-120)
Source: RNAcentral
GAUGAAGAACGGAGCGAAAUGCGAUAAGUAAUGUGAAUUGCAGAAUUCAGUGAAUCAUCGAAUCUUUGAACGCACAUUGCGCCCGCCAGUAUUCUGGCGGGCAUGCCUGUCUGAGCGUCAUUUCAACCCUCAUGCCCCUAGGGCGUGGUGUUGGGGAUCGGCCAAAGCCCGCGAGGGACGGCCGGCCCCUAAAUCUAGUGGCGGACCCGUCGUGGCCUCCUCUGCGAAGUAGUGAUAUUCCGCAUCGGAGAGCGAUGAGCCCCUGCCGUUAAACCCCCAACUUUCCAAGGUUGACCUCAGAUCAGGAAGGAAUACCCGCUGAACUUAAGAAUAUCAAUAAGCGGAGGA